This is an RNA transcript of Vicia villosa (hairy vetch), 3754 nucleotides long. It is a transcript of the gene named urease-like, with no coding region annotated. The record is from RefSeq and is a predicted model, not a curated record. The transcript is spliced from 21 exons. Lineage: Eukaryota; Viridiplantae; Streptophyta; Magnoliopsida; Fabales; Fabaceae.
AACGUGCAGUUAUUCGAGUCGAGAGGCGCGCUUUUGGUGAAUGAGACGCUCUUGCUCAGUGGUCCAUCUCCAAGAACAAUUAAAGAAGGCGGCUCGUGAUAGGUUCGGGAAAUUCUAUUCAACUUGUUCAGGGUCUCGUGACAAACGUGUUCCAGCAAUUCUAUUCUUCCGUGCCAAUUUUUUUUCAAGACUCCAAAAACUUAUUUUCCAUCCAUUAUUAAUCAUCAAACACAAGAAUAACUAAAAUCUCUGCCAUAUCACUCAUUUGAUUUGAGAAAAUGAAACUGUGUCAAAGAGAAAUCGAAAAACUUCAACUCCACAACGCUGGUUUUCUUGCUCAGAAACGUCUCGCUCGUGGUUUGAAACUCAACCAUCCUGAAGCUGUUGCUCUUAUAGCAUCGCAGAUUGUUGAAUUUGUUCGGAAUGGUGAUAAGUCUGUUGCAGAGUUAAUGGCAAUCGGAACACAGCUAUUAGGAAGGAGACAAGUUCUUUCAUCUGUUCCACAUAUCUUAGAAACUGUUCAGGUUGAAGCUACCUUUCCCGAUGGGACUAAGUUAAUCACGGUUCAUGCCCCAAUUGCUUGUGAAAAUGGAAAUCUUGAACUAGCAUUAUUUGGUUCUUUUCUUCCAGUACCUUCACUUGACAUGUUUAUCGAGAACAAUGAAGAUUACAACAUUCCUGGUGAAAUAAAAUCUGGAGAUGGAAGCCUGAUUCUUAACGCCGGAAGGGAGGCUGUCUCUCUUAAAGUUGUAAACAAUGGAGACAGACCAAUUCAGGUUGGAAGCCACUAUCAUUUUAUUGAAGUAAAUCCCUUCUUAAUCUUUGAUCGAAGAAAAUCAUUUGGCAAACGGCUUAAUAUAGCAUCUGGGACUACCACACGCUUUGAGCCAGGGGAAUGUAAAAGUGUUAUACUUGUAAGCAUUGGAGGUGACAGAGUCAUCCGAGGUGGUAACAACAUUGUUGAUGGUCCUGUUAAUGAUUUGAAGUGCAAAGAAGCCAUGAAGGAUGUUAUAACAAGGGGAUUCGGGCAUAAGGAAGAUGAAAAUGCAAGGGAAGGUAUUACCGGUGAAGACUAUUCAUUGACUAAGGUAAUUCCUCGAGAGGAAUAUGCUAACAAGUAUGGCCCCACUACUGGUGACAAAAUUCGUCUUGGUGACACUAACUUGUUUGCGGAAAUUGAAAAAGAUUUUGCUGUCUAUGGUGAUGAAUGUGUUUUUGGAGGAGGGAAAGUUAUAAGAGAUGGAAUGGGUCAGUCGUGUGGCCAUCCACCUGAUCAUCCUUCCUUGGAUACUGUUAUAACAAAUGCUGUGAUCAUCGAUUAUACUGGAAUUUACAAAGCAGAUAUUGGUAUUAAGGAUGGCCUUAUUGCCUCAAUUGGAAAAUCAGGAAACCCAGACGUUAUGAAUGGUGUAUUUGAUAAUAUGAUCAUUGGGGCUAAUACUGAAGUUAUUGCUGGAGAGGGCUUUAUUGUAACAGCUGGUGCUAUAGAUUGUCAUGUGCAUUUUAUAUGCCCUCAAUUAGUUUAUGAAGCCAUAUCAAGUGGGAUCACAACAUUGGUGGGCGGAGGAACUGGACCAGCUUUUGGAACACGUGCUACAACUUGCACACCGGCACCGAUUCAGAUGAAAAUGAUGCUGCAAUCAACAGAUGACCUGCCUCUGAACUUCGGUUUUACUGGAAAAGGGAAUUGUGCCAAGCCUUAUGAAUUACAUGAAAUAGUGAAAGCUGGAGCUAUGGGACUGAAGCUGCAUGAGGAUUGGGGAACUACACCAGCUGCUAUAGAGUGUUGCUUGGAUGUUGCAGAAAAACAUGAUAUCCAGGUUAACAUACAUACUGACACCUUAAAUGAAUCUGGGUUUGUGGAACACACAAUUGCCGCAUUUAAAGGAAAAAAUAUUCAUGCUUACCACAGUGAAGGUGCAGGUGGUGGCCAUGCUCCAGAUAUCAUCAAAGUAUGUGGUGUGAAGAAUGUCCUACCCUCAUCAACAAAUCCUACACGUCCUUUUACAUCUAAUACCAUAGACGAGCAUCUUGACAUGUUGAUGGUCUGCCAUCAUCUUGAUAAGGAUAGUCCAGAAGAUGUUGCUUUUGCAGAAUCAAGGAUAAGAGCCGAAACAAUCGCUGCUGAAGAUAUUUUGCAUGAUAUGGGUGCAAUUAGCAUUAUUUCUUCUGAUUCCCAGGCUAUGGGUAGAAUUGGAGAGGUGAUAAGCAGAACUUGGCAAACUGCCGAUAAGAUGAAGUCACAAAGAGGACCACUGCAGCCCGAUGAUUGCAACAAUGACAACUUUCGAAUCAAACGUUAUGUUGCAAAGUACACUAUAAAUCCAGCUAUAGCAAAUGGUUUGUCACGGUAUAUUGGUUCAGUUGAGGUAGGAAAGUUAGCUGAUCUUGUAUUAUGGCAACCAUCCUUUUUUGGAGCAAAACCCGAAAUGGUGAUCAAAGGCGGUGACAUUGCAUGGGCUGACAUGGGUGACGCAAACGCUAGCAUCCCAACACCUGAACCGAUGAUUAUGAGACCUAUGUUUGGAGCAUAUGGCAAGGCUGGCAAUGCAAACUCUAUUGCUUUUGUGAGCAAGGCAGCUUUGGACUACGGUGUAAAAGCUUUAUAUGGACUUGACAAGAGGGUGGAAGCCGUGGAGAAUGUGAGAAAGAUUAGCAAACUAGACAUGAAACUGAACGACGCCCUUCCAGAAAUCACUGUGGACCCAGAGACAUACACAGUCACUGCAGAUGGAGAGGUUCUAACCUGCACUCCGGCCACUACUGUUCCUCUUUCUAGAAAUUACUACCUCUUCUAAGCUCAAAAUCUCUCUUCCACACUGUGAACUGUCAUGGGAUUCGCAUAAGCAUGUCUGCGCCCAUUGUCUUCCAUAUUAUUUUCUCGACAAAAAAGCAAUUCCUAUACAUGCAGAUUAUUCCAAGAUAAUGUUUCAUCUCUAUUGUAUCAAUGAUCAUUGGAGAGCAAGUUAAUCAGAGGUAUAAUAAGUAGAACAUAAAGGGAAAAAAAAGACAUGCACGAUUGACCGAAAGAGCCGAGAUUGAAGUGCAUAGGAGAUCAAGAAUGCUAAAUUUGUUGGGAGAAAUUGGCACGAUUAGCCAAAUCCAAACAAAAGGUACCCCUUGCAAAAUAGCACAAAUUCGUUAGGAGAACCAAAGCUCUCCAAGAGAAUGGAAGGAGGUUCAAAGUUUUUUUUUGUGUGAAGCAAGCUCGAUUCCUUGAGCAUAUGAUGGUUUGCUCAACAAAUUGAGAUCAGAUCUGAAUUCUAUUCAAAGAAACUUAGGAAGGAGGGCCAAAGGUCAAAAAGAAAAGAAUAACUACUCUAGAACAACAAUCGAGUUGACAAUUUCACAAGCAUCUGCAUCAAGCAAAGCAGUGAAAAACGAAGACGGUUCAAUGUAACUCUGAAAAGAGUGAUCCACACAACCAUGUUUAGCCAAGCAAUCAGCGCAAGCAUUCCGAGACACAUGAGAAAUUAUUACCACCUCAAAAUCCCCCAUGAACUCCAUAAUUCGUCGAAGUAAAGCGACACAGUCAACCAUCCCUACCUUUUCGUCUUCGAUAGCUUUAACAACUAUCAUGCUAUCAACGUUGAUUUCCAUCUGAUUAAUUAUUCAAUUACAUUGAUCUUUAUUCUCUUGUUUUAGUUAUUGAUCAUUAUUGAUCAUGGUCGUGAACCUAAUAUGCUGAUGAAAAGUACUAUUAGGUUUAAAGAUAUUCAUUUAUGUCUAAUAUAACUUGAUCUUGUUUCGUAAA